GCCGGUUUAGCUCAGUUGGUAGAGCAACUGAUUUGUAAUCAGUGGGUCGUGGGUUCAAAUCCUGCAACCGGCACCA
This 76-nucleotide transfer RNA is filed under the name Undibacterium hunanense. RNAcentral's name for it is "Undibacterium sp. CY18W tRNA-Thr". It matches the Rfam family "tRNA". From Rfam's summary of the family: Transfer RNA (tRNA) molecules are approximately 80 nucleotides in length. Their secondary structure includes four short double-helical elements and three loops (D, anti-codon, and T loops). RNAcentral also lists the same sequence under 1 other name. Lineage: Bacteria; Pseudomonadati; Pseudomonadota; Betaproteobacteria; Burkholderiales; Oxalobacteraceae. The record is from RNAcentral.